GAUGAACGCUGGCGGCGUGCCUAAUACAUGCAAGUCGAGCGAACGGACGAGAAGCUUGCUUCUCUGAUGUUAGCGGCGGACGGGUGAGUAACACGUGGAUAACCUACCUAUAAGACUGGGAUAACUUCGGGAAACCGGAGCUAAUACCGGAUAAUAUUUUGAACCGCAUGGUUCAAAAGUGAAAGACGGUCUUGCUGUCACUUAUAGAUGGAUCCGCGCUGCAUUAGCUAGUUGGUAAGGUAACGGCUUACCAAGGUAACGAUGCAUAGCCGACCUGAGAGGGUGAUCGGCCACACUGGAACUGAGACACGGUCCAGACUCCUACGGGAGGCAGCAGUAGGGAAUCUUCCGCAAUGGGCGAAAGCCUGACGGAGCAACGCCGCGUGAGUGAUGAAGGUCUUCGGAUCGUAAAACUCUGUUAUUAGGGAAGAACAUAUGUGUAAGUAACUGUGCACACCUUGACGGUACCUAAUCAGAAAGCCACGGCUAACUACGUG
Molecule: ribosomal RNA, 497 nt
Filed under: uncultured bacterium
Lineage: Bacteria
Description: partial 16S ribosomal RNA
Rfam family: Bacterial small subunit ribosomal RNA
Source: RNAcentral